Molecule: transfer RNA, 72 nt
Filed under: Cavia porcellus (domestic guinea pig)
Lineage: Eukaryota; Metazoa; Chordata; Mammalia; Rodentia; Caviidae
Rfam family: tRNA
About the family: Transfer RNA (tRNA) molecules are approximately 80 nucleotides in length. Their secondary structure includes four short double-helical elements and three loops (D, anti-codon, and T loops).
Source: Rfam by way of RNAcentral
UGGGAUUUAGCUCAGUGAUACAGUGCCUGCCUGGCAAGCAUGAGGUUCUGAGUUCAAUUCCCAGUAUUCUUC